GCCCUUAUAGCUCAAUGGUAGAGCAUUUUUUUGGUAAGGAAAAGGAAAUGAGUUCAAUUCUCAUUAAGGGCU
This 72-nucleotide transfer RNA is filed under the name Coeloseira compressa. Its description in RNAcentral is "tRNA-Thr". It matches the Rfam family "tRNA". Rfam says of the family: Transfer RNA (tRNA) molecules are approximately 80 nucleotides in length. Their secondary structure includes four short double-helical elements and three loops (D, anti-codon, and T loops). Further hydrogen bonds mediate the characteristic L-shaped molecular structure. tRNAs have two regions of fundamental functional importance: the anti-codon, which is responsible for specific mRNA codon recognition, and the 3' end, to which the tRNAs corresponding amino acid is attached (by aminoacyl-tRNA synthetases). tRNAs cope with the degeneracy of the genetic code in two manners: having more than one tRNA (with a specific anti-codon) for a particular amino acid; and 'wobble' base-pairing, i.e. permitting non-standard base-pairing at the 3rd anti-codon position. Lineage: Eukaryota; Rhodophyta; Florideophyceae; Rhodymeniales; Champiaceae. The record is from RNAcentral.